RNAcentral lists this unclassified non-coding RNA (18 nucleotides) under Dictyostelium discoideum. Lineage: Eukaryota; Evosea; Eumycetozoa; Dictyosteliales; Dictyosteliaceae. The record is from RNAcentral.
GGUACUCUAAAUCGGCCA